Non-coding RNA from Misgurnus anguillicaudatus (oriental weatherfish), 1820 nucleotides. The record is from RefSeq and is a predicted model, not a curated record. NCBI's taxonomy places the organism in Eukaryota, Metazoa, Chordata, Actinopteri, Cypriniformes, Cobitidae.
GACUUAUCACGGGUGACGUGCCAAAGUUUGUACUGUUCUUGACAGACUGGGAACUUCGAGAACAUCCUGACCCUUCCUUGAUGCAAAUGCUAAAUAAAUACAUAAAAAGCCUGCAUUGUGAUUGGACAGUGCUGUACAAGUGGCACCCGUGCGUCCCGACAGACUUCCGUGAUGGCUGGGAUGUUGGAUGGUGAUGAUGAUUUGAGACCAGCGUGCGGAACGCUGUGGGAAUUAUCUUAUUUCUAAAAACCCUGUAGGGCGAAAUCACGGGGACGAGGCGGGAGAAGGAAAGCCCAGCUGACAGCCAUAUAGAAAAAGUCCAGAGCCCCCCAGCCGACAGUGGAGAAAUCACCAUCUGGAGCGAGGCCUGCACGCCAUGCUGGGCCUGUCAAAAAGACGAAGCUCUUUUCCCAGCAUACUUUUGUCCAUCGUCUCUCUCUUUCUCUCCUCCAUUGGAGCUCUCACUUCCCAGCAGAGCUUUCACAGUUCUCCUCUCCACAAAGACCUCCUACUGCACGGAUUGUUCCAUUCAUUGGCGGGGGGGAGGAACCGGAUGGACAUCACUCAUUCGGAUCUACAGAAUGGUUAACCGACUUUUGCACGAAGCCUCCCCUACUGCCGACCUUUGACUGGCCGAAAAGGCAUCCGAAAAAAUCUGCACCGCCUGCCGUCUCCGCUGCUUUGUAACCUGUGAACGGUGAAUUGAGUUGACUUCCAUUCAAAGACAGCCAGCGAUGGUGAAUGCUUGACUAGGUUGCUUUGGACUAGCAGCCCCCUGGGUUCUGGGCAGGGGCCUGAAUGAUGCGUGAAGCUGCUUUGGAAUUGAGAGCCAGUGCAGGCAGGGGGCUAAUAGCGGUGCGCGGGAUUGUCUUCACGGCCCUGGUGGGGUGAGUGUUGAGGGCCAAAACCAUCUGCUUUUGUAAUGGUGAGCAUCAAAGCCAGGAGGAGCACGGCAGGAGAUCUCCUUUCACCAGGGACACAUUGCAUAUGGGCCUCAUAUUUCUCCAAGACGGGUUCCUGCAGACCGCUGGGACCCAUCAUAGUCGCCUCUAUUCUCUUUAUCCCUGCAUGGCUACUGAGUGCCAAAUAGGUGUGGAGAGACAGGAAUUCCCUAUUAUUUACCCUGGGAAUUUAGAUAAUAGAUGAGUUUGUUUGACCCAGCAGACCCCAAACUGUAAACACUCCCCUUUCCCUAAUUUUAGUCGUUUUAUCUAGCCAGAAACCGUAGUCUUUGCUUUAUUUUUGUUGGUGGGAGGAAAAAUGGGUCACUAGAUGGCUCAAGCAACAUGCUCAGAAGAUGAUUAAUUAUUAAAGUGACUAAUACUACAUUUGCCUCUGAGCGCUUGUGACUUUAAUCCAUGGCAGGGGCACAGCUACUUGUAUUCAGUUUUCCACUUGUGUAUACACGCACACACACAUAUCUUGUUCUUCUAUGCCACUAGCUAAAUUCAAUUUCAGUUUCAAUUAGCUUUAUUGUCAUGACCAAGAUACAUAUUUGAACUGCCAAAGUUUUAUCACUCUGCUGUGUCAGUUCCUCUCAUUCUUACGGUCGGCCCUCCUCCAUCCGGAAGUAGUAAAAAAAGAAAAGUAAUAUGCCACUCGAUCUGCACAGUAUCACAUGAACUCAAACACACCUAUGAUUUUUAUGGCAGUAAAAGCGGAAACCGAGGAUAGCCCGGAUAUGACACCAUUGGCAAGCGACCCUAUGAAUGGGGGCGGGCACUAUUAAAAAAACAUUUAGGAUAAUGUACGUACACAUGUAAACAAAAUCUAUAACAUAAAUACCUGGUUGUAUUCUGGUAUGGUCAUGACGUUCUUUA